CCCACACAGGUGGUGCAUGGUUGUCGUCAGUUCGUGUCGUGAGAUGUUGGGUUAAGUCCCGCAACGAGCGCAACCCUUAUUGUUAGUUGCUACGCAAGAGCACUCUAGCGAGACUGCCGUUGACAAAACGGAGGAAGGUGGGGACGACGUCAAAUCAUCAUGCCCUUUAUGUCCUGGGCUACACACGUACUACAAUGGCGGCCAUACAGAGGGAAGCAAGACAGCGAUGUGGAGCAAAUCCCUAAAAGCCGUCUCAGUUCAGAUUGCAGGCUGCAACCCGCCUGCAUGAAGUCGGAAUUGCUAGUAAUCGCGGAUCAGCAUGCCGCGGUGAAUACGUUCCCGGGCCUUGUACACACCGCCCGUCACACCAUGAGAGUCGGAAACACCCGAAGCCUGUAGCCCAACCGCAAGGGGGGCGCAGUCGAAGGUGGGUCUGAUAAUUGGGGUGAAGUCGUAACAAGGUAGCCGU
RNAcentral lists this ribosomal RNA (469 nucleotides) under uncultured bacterium. RNAcentral's name for it is "bacterial SSU rRNA". It matches the Rfam family "Bacterial small subunit ribosomal RNA", at positions 1029 to 1503 of the family's 1533-position model. The record is from RNAcentral.